Molecule: ribosomal RNA, 254 nt
Filed under: uncultured bacterium
Lineage: Bacteria
Description: partial 16S ribosomal RNA
Rfam family: Bacterial small subunit ribosomal RNA
Source: RNAcentral
GACAGAGGGGGGUAAGCGUUGUUCGGAAUUACUGGGCGUAAAGGGCGCGUAGGCGUCUUCUCACGCGUGCGGUGAAAGCUCGGGGCUUAACUCCGAGUCUGCCGUGCGAACGGGGAGGCUUGAGUCUGGUAGAGGUCGAUGGAAUUCCGGGUGUAGCGGUGGAAUGCGUAGAGAUCCGGAAGAACAACGGUGGCGAAGGCGGUCGACUGGGCCAGUACUGACGCUGAGGCGCGACAGCGUGGGGAGCAAACAGG